This 253-nucleotide ribosomal RNA is filed under the name uncultured bacterium. RNAcentral describes it as "partial 16S ribosomal RNA". It matches the Rfam family "Bacterial small subunit ribosomal RNA", at positions 524 to 776 of the family's 1533-position model. The record is from RNAcentral.
UACGUAGGGUGCAAGCGUUGUCCGGAAUUAUUGGGCGUAAAGAGCUCGUAGGCGGUCUGUCGCGUCUGCUGUGAAAACUCAGGGCUUAACCCUGAGCUUGCAGUGGGUACGGGCAGACUAGAGUGCGGUAGGGGAGACUGGAAUUCCUGGUGUAGCGGUGAAAUGCGCAGAUAUCAGGAGGAACACCGGUGGCGAAGGCGGGUCUCUGGGCAGUUACUGACGCUGAGGAGCGAAAGCGUGGGGAGCGAACAGG